GUUCCUGUCCAACGUUAAUCGGGGCAGGGUGAGUCGACCCCUAAGGCGAGGCCGAAAGGCGUAGUCGAUGGGAAACAGGUUAAUAUUCCUGUACUUGGUGUUACUGCGAAGGGGGGACGGAGAAGGCUAUGUUGGCCGGGCGACGGUUGUCCCGGUUUAAGCGUGUAGGCUGGUUUUCCAGGCAAAUCCGGAAAAUCAAGGCUGAGGCGUGAUGACGAGGCACUACGGUGCUGAAGCAACAAAUGCCCUGCUUCCAGGAAAAGCCUCUAAGCAUCAGGUAACAUCAAAUCGUACCCCAAACCGACACAGGUGGUCAGGUAGAGAAUACCAAGGCGCUUGAGAGAACUCGGGUGAAGGAACUAGGCAAAAUGGUGCCGUAACUUCGGGAGAAGGCACGCUGAUAUGUAGGUGAAGUCCCUCGCGGAUGGAGCUGAAAUCAGUCGAAGAUACCAGCUGGCUGCAACUGUUUAUUAAAAACACAGCACUGUGCAAACACGAAAGUGGACGUAUACGGUGUGACGCCUGCCCGGUGC
Molecule: ribosomal RNA, 533 nt
Filed under: Escherichia coli
Lineage: Bacteria; Pseudomonadati; Pseudomonadota; Gammaproteobacteria; Enterobacterales; Enterobacteriaceae
Description: partial 23S ribosomal RNA
Rfam family: Bacterial large subunit ribosomal RNA
Source: RNAcentral